GGGCCCGCACAAGCGGUGGAGCAUGUGGUUUAAUUCGAUGAUACGCGAGGAACCUUACCAGGGCUUAAAUGUGGAGUGACAUGGCUAGAGAUAGCUUUUUCUUCGGACACUUCACAAGGUGCUGCAUGGUUGUCGUCAGCUCGUGCCGUGAGGUGUCAGGUUAAGUCCUAUAACGAGCGCAACCCCUAUCGUUAGUUGCUAGCAGGUAAAGCUGAGGACUCUAGCGAGACUGCCGGUGCAAACCGUGAGGAAGGUGGGGAUGACGUCAAAUCAUCACGGCCCUUACGUCCUGGCCACACACGUGCUACAAUGGUAUGGACAAUGAGCAGCCACUAUGCGAAUAGGAG
This 347-nucleotide ribosomal RNA is filed under the name uncultured bacterium. RNAcentral's name for it is "bacterial SSU rRNA". It matches the Rfam family "Bacterial small subunit ribosomal RNA", at positions 917 to 1267 of the family's 1533-position model. The record is from RNAcentral.